RNAcentral lists this ribosomal RNA (541 nucleotides) under uncultured bacterium. RNAcentral's name for it is "bacterial SSU rRNA". It matches the Rfam family "Bacterial small subunit ribosomal RNA", at positions 119 to 646 of the family's 1533-position model. The record is from RNAcentral.
GGGUAACCUGCCCGGAAGCAGGGGAUAACACUUGGAAACAGGUGCUAAUACCGUAUAACAACUGAAACCGCAUGGUUUCAGUUUGAAAGAUGGUUUCGGCUAUCACUUCUGGAUGGACCCGCGGCGUAUUAGCUAGUUGGUGGAGUAAUGGUUCACCAGGGCAAUGAUACGUAGCCGACCUGAGAGGGUAAUCGGCCACAUUGGGACUGAGACACGGCCCAAACUCCUACGGGAGGCAGCAGUAGGGAAUCUUCCACAAUGGACGAAAGUCUGAUGGAGCAACGCCGCGUGAGUGAAGAAGGGUUUCGGCUCGUAAAACUCUGUUGUUGAAGAAGAACACAUCUGAGAGUAACUGUUCAGGUGUUGACGGUAUUUAACCAGAAAGCCACGGCUAACUACGUGCCAGCAGCCGCGGUAAUACGUAGGUGGCAAGCGUUGUCCGGAUUUAUUGGGCGUAAAGCGAGCGCAGGUGGUUUCUUAAGUCUGAUGUGAAAGCCUUCGGCUUAACCGGAGAAGUGCAUCGGAAACUGGGAGACUUGAG